UGGGGAAUCUUGCGCAAUGCACGAAAGUGUGACGCAGCAACGCCGCGUGGGGGAAGAAGGUCUUCGGAUUGUAAACCCCUUUCAGUUGGGACGAGGGUUACACGGUGAAUAGCCGGCGUAACUGACGGUACCUUCAGAAGAAGCCCCGGCUAACUACGUGCCAGCAGCCGCGGUAAUACGUAGGGGGCAAGCGUUAUCCGGAAUCAUUGGGCGUAAAGCGCGUGUAGGCGGUUAAGUAAGUCCGCUCUGAAAGCCCAGGGCUCAACCCUGGGAGGCGGGUGGAAACUACUUGACUAGAGUCCGGAAGAGGAGAUUGGAAUUCCUGGUGUAGCGGUGAAAUGCGCAGAUAUCAGGAGGAACACCAACAGCGAAGGCAGAUCUCUGGGACGUGACUGACGCUGAGACGCGAAAGCGUGGGGAGCAAACAGGAUUAGAUACCCUGGUAGUCCACGCCGUAAAACGAUGAAUACUAGGUGUAGGGGGUAUCGACCUCCCUCUGUGCCGAAGCUAACGCAUUAAGUAUUCCGCCUGGGGAGUACGGCCGCAAGGCU
Molecule: ribosomal RNA, 551 nt
Filed under: uncultured bacterium
Lineage: Bacteria
Description: partial 16S ribosomal RNA
Rfam family: Bacterial small subunit ribosomal RNA
Source: RNAcentral